RNAcentral lists this non-coding RNA (191 nucleotides) under Paenibacillus aquistagni. RNAcentral's name for it is "Bacterial small subunit ribosomal RNA". It matches the Rfam family "Bacterial small subunit ribosomal RNA", at positions 1 to 184 of the family's 1533-position model. The record is from Rfam by way of RNAcentral. Lineage: Bacteria; Bacillati; Bacillota; Bacilli; Caryophanales; Paenibacillaceae.
UUUAUGGAGAGUUUGAUCCUGGCUCAGGACGAACGCUGGCGGCGUGCCUAAUACAUGCAAGUCGAGCGGAGCUGAUGAGGUGCUUGCACCUCAGAUGCUUAGCGGCGGACGGGUGAGUAACACGUAGGUAACCUGCCCAUAAGACUGGGAUAACCCACGGAAACGUGAGCUAAUACCAGAUAGGCAUCUUC